AGAGUUUGAUCAUGGCUCAGAUUGAACGCUGGCGGAAUGCUUUACACAUGCAAGUCGAACGGCAGCACGGACUUCGGUCUGGUGGCGAGUGGCGAACGGGUGAGUAAUAUAUCGGAACGUGCCCAGUCGUGGGGGAUAACGUAGUGAAAAUUACGCUAAUACCGCAUACGAUCUAUGGAUGAAAGCGGGGGAUCGCAAGACCUCGCGCGAUUGGAGCGGCCGAUAUCAGAUUAGGUAGUUGGUGAGGUAAAGGCUCACCAAGCCAACGAUCUGUAGCUGGUCUGAGAGGACGACCAGCCACACUGGAACUGAGACACGGUCCAGACUCCUACGGGAGGCAGCAGUGGGGAAUUUUGGACAAUGGACGCAAGUCUGAUCCAGCCAUUCCGCGUGCAGGACGAAGGCCUUCGGGUUGUAAACUGCUUUUGUACAGAACGAAAAGGUUUCUAUUAAUACUAGGAGCUCAUGACGGUACUGUAAGAAUAAGCACCGGCUAACUACGUGCCAGCAGCCGCGGUAAU
This 521-nucleotide ribosomal RNA is filed under the name uncultured bacterium. RNAcentral describes it as "bacterial SSU rRNA". It matches the Rfam family "Bacterial small subunit ribosomal RNA", at positions 8 to 524 of the family's 1533-position model. The record is from RNAcentral.